GCUGAUUUUCAUGUCUAACAUUUAACCGUCUGUCUUAUUUAAAAAAAUUAAAAAGAUAAGUCACGCAUAAAAUAUUAAUCAUGUUUUAUCAUCUAACAACAAUGAAAAUACGAAUUAUAAAAAAAUUUUAUAUAAGACGGACAGUUAAAGUUAGAAAAAAAACUC
This 165-nucleotide microRNA precursor is filed under the name Oryza nivara. RNAcentral describes it as "MIR812 microRNA precursor family". It matches the Rfam family "MIR812 microRNA precursor family", at positions 19 to 190 of the family's 205-position model. Lineage: Eukaryota; Viridiplantae; Streptophyta; Magnoliopsida; Poales; Poaceae. The record is from Rfam by way of RNAcentral.